Paramuricea clavata is the source of this 867-nucleotide non-coding RNA. NCBI's taxonomy places the organism in Eukaryota, Metazoa, Cnidaria, Anthozoa, Malacalcyonacea, Plexauridae. The record is from the annotation of a GenBank genome assembly.
GUGUCAGAUGGUUGUCAGAUGGUGUAUGAUGGUCGAAGUGUGUCAGAUGGUUGUCGGAUGGUGUAUGAUGGUGUAGGGUGGUUAUACAGGGAAGGGUUGUCAGAUGGUGAAGAUGGUACAGAUGGUGUAUGAUGGUCGAAGUAUGUCAGAUGGUUGUCAGAUGGUGUAUGAUGGUGUAUGAUGGUCGAAGUGUGUCAGAUGGUUUUCAGAUGGUGUAUGAUGGUGUAGGGUGGUUAUACAGGGAAGGGUUGUCAGAUGGUGAAGAUGAUACAGAUGGUGUAUGAUGGUCGAAGUGUGUCAGAUGGUUGUCAGAUGGUGUAUGAUGGUGUAUGAUGGUCGAAAUGUGUCAGAUGGUUGUCAGAUGGUGUAUGAUGGUGUAUGAUGGUCGAAGUGUGUCAGAUGGUUGUCAGAUGGUGUAUGAUGGCGUAGGGUGGUUAUACAAGGAAGGGUUGUCAGAUGGUGAAGAUGGUACAGAUGGUGUAUGAUGGUCGAAGUGUGUCAGAUGGUUGUCAGAUGGCGUAUGAUGGUCAGUAUGAUGGUCGAAGUGUGUCAGAUGGUUGUCAGAUGGUGUAUGAUGGUGUAGGGUGGUUAUACAGGGAAGGGUUGUCAGAUGGUGAAGAUGGUACAGAUGGUGUAUGAUGGUCGAAGUGUGUCAGAUGGUUGUCAGAUAGUGUAUGAUGGUGUAUGAUGGUCGGAGUGUGUCAGAUGGUUGUCAGAUGGUGCAUGAUGAUGUAGGGUGGUUAUACAGCGAAGGGUUGUCAGAUGGUGAAGAUGGUACAGAUGGUGUAUGAUGGUCGAAGUGUGUCAGAUGGUUGUCAGAUGGUGUAUGAUGGUGUAUGGUGGUUAUACAGGGAAGAGCUGUCAGAU